Molecule: ribosomal RNA, 484 nt
Filed under: uncultured bacterium
Lineage: Bacteria
Description: partial 16S ribosomal RNA
Rfam family: Bacterial small subunit ribosomal RNA
Source: RNAcentral
AUUGAACGCUGGCGGCAGGCCUAACACAUGCAAGUCGAGCGGAUGAAGGGAGCUUGCUCCUGGAUUCAGCGGCGGACGGGUGAGUAAUUCCUAGGAAUCUGCCUGGUAUUGGGGGAUAACGUCCGGAAACGGGCGCUAAUACCGCAUACGUCCUGAGGGUGAAAGUGGGGGAUCUUCGGACCUCACGCUAUCAGAUGAGCCUAGGUCGGAUUAGCUAGUUGGUGGGGUAAAGGCCUACCAAGGCGACGAUCCGUAACUGGUCUGAGAGGAUGAUCAGUCACACUGGAACUGAGACACGGUCCAGACUCCUACGGGAGGCAGCAGUAGGGAAUAUUGGGCAAUGGGCGGAAGCCUGACGCAGCCAUGCCGCGUGAGUGAAGAAGGUCUUCGGAUUGUAAAGCUCUUUAAGUUGGGAGGAAGGGAAGUGAAUUAAUACCUUGCUGUUUUGACGGUACCAACAGAAUAAGCACCGGCUAACUUCGUG